RNAcentral lists this long non-coding RNA (603 nucleotides) under Malus domestica (apple). RNAcentral's name for it is "long non-coding RNA (MDOM_LNC009280)". Lineage: Eukaryota; Viridiplantae; Streptophyta; Magnoliopsida; Rosales; Rosaceae. The record is from RNAcentral.
UGUCUGUGUAGAUCAGCUUUUAAAUUAAAUUAAAAAAAAAAUAAUAAUGAUAAGUCAUGAUGAUGUUUGAAACAUCAUCAUGAUUCAUGUUGUGAAGGCAGAAGAUGGGAGGAACAAAAAGAAAGAAUAAAAUAGGCAAAAAGAGAGGAUAACAGAUGAGGAGAAAGAGGAGAAGUGGAUGGACAACGCGGAGAAGAAUAAAAAAAAGAAAUAUAAAGGAAGCAGAGGGCAGCAGAGAAAGGGGGGAGACGUGAGAAGAAUAGGGACACAAAGAAAUAAAAGAAAAGAGCACAGAAGCAGAGCGACUGACAGUGCAGAGAAGCAAACAGACGUGAGGACAGUCGGAGAGUAGUGAAGGAUGGAGAGAGGGCUAGGAGGGAAGCAGCGAAGCAGCGCUUGAGGGGAGAAAAACAGAAGGAGCAAGCUGCCUUCUCUCUCGGUUAAAUCUUUCCAAACUUAUAUUUUAUUUCUGUUUUAAUAAUGUGUAACUAAAUUUAUUUUGGCUAGAGGUUAAUUCAAAGCCAUGAAUAUAUUUGUAAUAUGAAUUGAUUACCUUCAGUUGUGAUUUAAUUUGCUUAACUGCUUGAUUGAUAGCUUAUUUUU